This 1356-nucleotide long non-coding RNA is filed under the name Elaeis guineensis (African oil palm). RNAcentral's name for it is "long non-coding RNA (EGUI_LNC005403)". The record is from RNAcentral. Lineage: Eukaryota; Viridiplantae; Streptophyta; Magnoliopsida; Arecales; Arecaceae.
AGCUGAAUUUCUAGUCGUGAUGCGUAAUUUCUGAUUUAGUUAAUUUCUUCUACUCCUUCAUAUUAAACCUUCUAGUAAUUCAAGAAAAAUAUCUAAGUGAAAGAUCAAGUAGAAAAUUAAAGCAAGAUAGACCAUUUUUAUUUCUUUAGAUCAAACUCGAGAGAACUAACAAUGGCACGUAACAACUGGAAAAAAAAAAAUGGCACAAGCCCAUGUAAAUUAUCACGUAACAUCUAUGCAAGUUCACCAUGGUUAUUGUAAAUCAACAUCAAUAUAAUUCCGAUCACUCAGUCAUCUUAUUUCGUGAAGAAAGAUUUUUUUUUUUUUUGAAAAAAUAUCAUUUAUCAUGGUCGUGGAGGGGGGUGGGGGGAGGGAAGUUACAAAAGAUAAGGAAGAAUUACAUCAACCUACUCGAAUUUUCUUGCUGGGAAGAGCGAGAAAAAUAGAGGUAAGAUCACGUGGAACUGGGUGGAAACCCUGAGGUGGAGGCUGGACUUUCCUCUUGACCGGCCGGGGCUUCCUCGGGGCCGGCGGGCAAACCAACGCCGGCUUCAGUACAUGCUCUUCGGACUUGGGUGUCACGCACUCCACCUCGUUCUUGGGAGACGACUCCGGCUGGGGCUCACCGUCGGGCUUGUUGGUAUGGUUCCCGGUGGUCUGAAUUGGUGGGAGGCAUGGCAAUUCGCCCACGACAAGCUCUAAGCCCAUGGUUUCAAGUUGACAAGAGGAAGAGUAGUGGGAGAGACAAGAACUGGGCUGGGAUAAUUGAAGACGUGGAUAGUGAUGGUGGGGGUGUAAAGGUGUAACCCGCAAGGGGCUUAAGGAGGGGAAGGGCAGGCGUGGAGACACAUGAGAUGGUGGUGAUGAUGGGCUUGGCAAGAGGAGAUGGGAAAAAAGGGAGAACAGAAUUAUAUAGAGAGGUAGUGCAAAGAGUUAAAUAGUCACAAAAGUCACACACACACACUCACACACACACACACACAGAGGAGGGGGGAUGCAAUGCAAAUGAUUGUGGGGAAUGAGGUAGGAGAAGUUCGGAAGGUACAGAGAGGAAAAGGUAAGAAGCCGAAAGAACAAGGAAACAGGAGUUAAGGCAGCCUUAACUCUGGGCAUGGCUGUGGCCAUCUGGGGCUGAGUAUUGCCCCAAGUGGGUCCUUCGAGUUGGCCUCUGUAGUGAAGGUGGGGUGCACCACGGUCCGGUGGGCCAUUGGUCCACAGAGCCCAUGGUUAAGAUGUCGUCUUGGUAGCGCAAUGCCUUGAUUCCAGCCAUCCAUUUUGCUAUUCUUAUCACUGCACCCAGUUCAUCCUUAAUUACCCAGGAGAAGGGCUCCAUGAUGAAUCGGAGUAAAAAGAUAU